AAUUGCGGGCUAUCCGAUGCGUAUCGAAAAAGUCUGAGAAAAGGCCGAUUUUAGCGCCAAAAAAUGAUUUUGAAAAAUUUGCACUUAUAACAGUACAAUCUGAAUGUUGUAUAUGUUCAGUUUAAAUACAACAUACAACAAUAAUAACAAACAACAACAACAACAACAAUUAUCGCAACAGCAACAACAACCACAACAAUCACCGCAAGAAAAAGGAGUUAUAUAUUGUUUUUUUUUUAUUUUUUAAAUUCAAAACCCCCGACAAACACAACAAUACUACGAGAAGCAGCUAACUAAGCCCGGCUCCAUUCAUAAAGCAAUGAAAACCAAACAGAGAGCGACCAGAAUCGGUUGUUAACCAAGUGCACUAGCCGGAUAUUGGAUAUACGUCGUCUAUAUAUAUAUAUUUCGGAUAUAAACACGGCUCGCCCAGUCGAAGGAAAAAUUUCUCUCCUUCGACAUCGCCAUCGCCAUCGCCCUCGCCAAUCGUCAAUCGCCUUCGAGGAUACCCAGCAAUUGGAGUCUCUGCAUCGCAAUAUAAUUAAGGAAACAGAAUGCCUCCAGUAGUAGCACUAUUGCCGGCCCUUGGAGCAGCAUCUGUUGUCUGUGGCUCCCGUGCCUUCUAUUGAGAGGAGCCCCGGAGCGCUGAGAAUCUGGAGCAGGGGUGUGAACAGAUAUUGCCGAGCAUGAAGCAACGGACCGCUACGCAGCACUAUCCCUCAAUCAGCAACCGAUUUGUAUCAAUCACAAGCCGUAUAAGCAGAGCAGCAUCUAAUAAAUUGUCUGGAUCAGGAGCAGGAGCAGGACCAGGAGAAGGAGCAGGAGCAGGAGCAGGAGCACCUGGUGGCAUAGACAAAUUCGUGGCCAGUCAGAGGAGGAGGAGGAGGUGGUCGUCGGCCACAUAAGACUAGAUCCUCUCCCCCACCCCCACCCUGAACAAGGAGCAGCGCCAGAGGAGGAGCAGGAGGGACACGAACUGCAUAAGGAGCAGGAGCUGCCGGAGGAGCGGAGCGGAGAGGAGACGGAGACGGAGACGGCCCGGGCGUGUGUGU
This 1052-nucleotide small RNA is filed under the name Drosophila ananassae. RNAcentral describes it as "GF26835". The record is from RNAcentral. Lineage: Eukaryota; Metazoa; Arthropoda; Insecta; Diptera; Drosophilidae.